AUUGAACGCUGGCGGCAAGCCUAACACAUGCAAGUCGAACGAGUGGCGGACGGGUGAGUAAUGUCUGAGAAACUGCCUGAUGGAGGGGGAUACAUACUGGAAACGGUAGCUAAUAACGCAUACCAUCGAAUGUGCCCAGAGGGGAUUGGCUAGUAGGGGGGGUAACGGCUCACCUAGGCGAAGAUCCCUAGCUGGUCUGCGAGGAUGACCAUCCACACUGGAACUGCGGCACGUUCCUGACUCCUACGGUAGGCAGCAGUGGGGAAUAUUGCACAAUGGGCGCAAGCCUGAUGCAGCCAUGCCGCGUGUAUUAAGAAGGCCGUCGGGUUGUAAAGUACUUUCAGCGGGGAGGCGUUACCCGCAGAAGAAGCACCGGCUAACUCCGUGCCAGCCGCCGCGGUAAUAC
RNAcentral lists this ribosomal RNA (406 nucleotides) under uncultured bacterium. RNAcentral describes it as "partial 16S ribosomal RNA". It matches the Rfam family "Bacterial small subunit ribosomal RNA", at positions 30 to 526 of the family's 1533-position model. The record is from RNAcentral.